AUUGAACGCUGGCGGCAGGCCUAACACAUGCAAGUCGAGCGGAGCGGCGGACGGGUGAGUAAUACCUAGGAAUCUGCCUUGUAGUGGGGGAUACCGUUCGGAAACGGACGCUAAUCCCGCAUACUCUUCGAUCAGCCUAGGUCGGAUUAGCUAGUUGGUGAGGUAAUGGCUCACCCAGGCUCCGAUCCGUAACUGGUCUGAGAGGAUGAUCAGUCACACUGGAACUGAGACACGGUCCAGACUCCUACGGGAGGAAGCAGUGGGGAAUAUUGGACAAUUGGCGAAAGCCUGAUCCAGCCAUGCCGCGUGUGUGAAGAAGGUCUUCGGAUUGUAAAGCACUUUAAGUUGGGAGGCGUUACCGACAGAAUAAGCACCGGCUAACUCUGUGCCAGCAGCCGCGGUAAUUC
This 407-nucleotide ribosomal RNA is filed under the name uncultured bacterium. Its description in RNAcentral is "partial 16S ribosomal RNA". It matches the Rfam family "Bacterial small subunit ribosomal RNA", at positions 30 to 526 of the family's 1533-position model. The record is from RNAcentral.